This 293-nucleotide ribosomal RNA is filed under the name uncultured eukaryote. RNAcentral describes it as "partial 18S ribosomal RNA". It matches the Rfam family "Eukaryotic small subunit ribosomal RNA", at positions 6 to 289 of the family's 1831-position model. The record is from RNAcentral.
GGUUGAUCCUGCCAGUAGUCAUAUGCUUGUCUCAAAGAUUAAGCCAUGCAUGUCUAAGUAUAAACACCUUUAUACAGUGAAACUGCAGAUGGCUCAUUAAAUCAGUUAUAAUUUAUUUGAUGAUACCUUUUACUACAUGGAUACCUGUAGUAAUUCUAGAGCUAAUACAUGCGUCAAGUCCCGACUCUUCGCGGAGGAAGGAUGUAUUUAUUAGAUAAAAAACCAACGCGCCCUCAAAAGCGCUUUUCGGUGAUUCCUAGUAACUUGUCGGAUCGCAUGGCCUCGCGCCGGCG